GGGAGGAGCCCGGCGGACGAGUUUAUGGCGGUUCUUUUGACUCCGUGGUUCCGUAGCCUUGGCAGCCAGAGCCAGUUUCCCGGCCCAGGGCGGAGUGUGUCAAGUUUCGUGAGCCCUAGAGAUGUUUUCUGCCGGAAAAGGAGGACAGGAUGCUCUGGUCCUUUUCAAGCUACUCAGCUAUGGGAUGGUAUUAUUCACUCCCUUCAGACUCAAGUGGUAAUAAAAAGAAGGAGGCAUCAUUUACGAACAUACAGAGACUGUUUUACUGGUUCUGAUGCUGUUGAUGUAGUACUAAGUCAUCUUAUGCAAAAUACGUGCCUGAGCAGUAAUGAUAUCUCUCGUCUUAAAGGAGUUCGUCUUUGUCAACUUCUAAUGAACCAUAAAGUAUUUGAACCAGUAGAAAUGAAGCUAUUCAAAAAUGAAAAGGAAUUGGAAUUUGAGGAUUCAAACAAUAGUCUCUACAGGUUUCUAGGGAAUAAAUCAUCUUAUGUUUUUUGCAAAAGAAAAAAGGAUUCUGAGACUGGGUUAAAUGAUGAAAUAAAAGCAAAGGAAUCUUUAAGACCAGAAGGCAAAGUGAUUUCAAAUCCUCUAGCACAAGAGAUUGGUGAGGAAAGAAUUGAGGAACUUAUUGAUACAAUGAGUGGGACUCUGGCUUUACCUCCAAACAUCACAGUUGACAAACCUGUUCUUCCACUUUCAAAAGAAGGAUUGAUAACUGGCUUAAUUCAGCAAUUGAAUGCUUGGAAUAUUUCCCUGACCAGUUAAUAGUUACUGUCAGUGAGCAGUUAGUUCAAAACAGAAAUGAAGAGACAAGAUUGAAUACACAGAAAAAGUUACUCUUUGAUGUCAUAGUAAAAUAUUAUAAUCAAGAGAGAGAUUGCUUAUUAACUGAUGAGUAUUUUGAUAUUCAUUCAGGAAUUAUUGAACUUUUAGGUAAGAGAUGUUUAAACUUCAGUUUUUUUGCAUAAUCUUUUUUAAUAAUACAAGUUGCAGAAGAUUUUAUGUAUUAUAUGAGUAUUACAUUUUAAUAUUUUUCUUCUAUGAUGUCAAAGUACUUCAUAGAGUCUUUUUUCAAUUCACUUGGCCUGCCACGUAAAUUGUACUAUCAAAUGUAAUACUGUAGUAUAGCAAUUAGAUCUAAGGUAAUUCUAUCACAGGGACAUUCUAAGAAAAAUUUUGAUAUAGUACUAGAGGAUUAAAGAACUGAGGUAUCUGGAAAUAUUGUAUUAAUUUGAUGACCUUUUAGCAAAAUAAAAAUUGAGUGACACAUCAUGUCUCUUUUUUAGCUUUGUAGGUGGCCAUAUAAUUUCAUGUUAAAAACAAAUUGCUGUUUGACAAUGCUGGAUAUAAUUAUGCAGGUGUUUGGCAUAAUAUGUAGAUAAUUUCCUGUGUGUUUGAAAUAUUUCCUAAUAAAAACUUUCAAGUGUAAAAAAGAAUCUGCAAACCAAACACAGUAUCAUAGCAUUUUAAUUGACUGCUACGUACUAUAAUCUCUGGGGUUUUUUUGUCCCUUGCUUUGUCUUCUUUGUAACCCAUGUAACAGAAAAUGAGAAAAGAACAGAAGCACUUGAAGCAACACAACUAUAUCUAAGAUUAUUGUUGCCCAACGUUAGAGAAGAAUUACGAUGGCUACUCACUUUUAUGGCAACUGCAUCAGAACCCAAUGCCUACAAAUUACAAAAACAGUUUGUUCAAAAAGAGUCAUGUACCACAAUAUUCAUUGCAGCUCUAUUUACAAUAGCCAGGACAAGGAAGCAACCUAAGUGUCCAUCAACAGAUGAAUGGUUAAAGAAGAUGUGGCACAUAUAUACAA
Molecule: RNA transcript, 1813 nt
Organism: Orcinus orca (killer whale)
Lineage: Eukaryota; Metazoa; Chordata; Mammalia; Artiodactyla; Delphinidae
Gene: DEPDC4
Gene name: DEP domain containing 4
Exons: 5
Source: RefSeq, a predicted model, not a curated record